Molecule: ribosomal RNA, 497 nt
Filed under: uncultured bacterium
Lineage: Bacteria
Description: partial 16S ribosomal RNA
Rfam family: Bacterial small subunit ribosomal RNA
Source: RNAcentral
GAUGAACGCUGGCGGCGUGCCUAAUACAUGCAAGUAGAACGCCGAAGGAAGGAGCUUGCUCUUUCCGGAUGAGUUGCGAACGGGUGAGUAACGCGUAGGUAACCUGCCUGGUAGCGGGGGAUAACUAUUGGAAACGAUAGCUAAUACCGCAUAACAGUAGAUGUUGCAUGAUAUCUACUUAAAAGGUGCAAUUGCACCACUACCAGAUGGACCUGCGUUGUAUUAGCUAGUUGGUGAGGUAACGGCUCACCAAGGCGACGAUACAUAGCCGACCUGAGAGGGUGAUCGGCCACACUGGGACUGAGACACGGCCCAGACUCCUACGGGAGGCAGCAGUAGGGAAUCUUCGGCAAUGGACGGAAGUCUGACCGAGCAACGCCGCGUGAGUGAAGAAGGUUUUCGGAUCGUAAAGCUCUGUUGUAAGAGAAGAACGAGUGUGAGAGUGGAAAGUUCACACUGUGACGGUAGCUUACCAGAAAGGGACGGCUAACUACGUG